Molecule: unclassified non-coding RNA, 711 nt
Filed under: Hevea brasiliensis (rubber tree)
Lineage: Eukaryota; Viridiplantae; Streptophyta; Magnoliopsida; Malpighiales; Euphorbiaceae
Source: RNAcentral
GCCAAACAGGCUCUAAAUCUUACAUUGACCUCGUGUAGAUAUAGAGACCAAAACAAGCUUAACUGUCAAAAGAUGAAGAUUCAGAUAUGUUGGAAUAGCAGGACUGCAAUGAGUCAUACUUUCCCAACAGUAAAUAUGAAAGAAAACUAGAUGAACAUUUGUGACAUAUUAGAUACACUUAUUGACAACUAUCAUAUCGAUUUACCUUAUAACUAGCUCAACCUUAGAAGAAGCUCUGGGUAAAUCACUCAAAUCUUUACUGGAUUUAGUUCCUAUCGGUUGUUCAAUGAAGAUCCUUAGCAAAGACGGUGCCUGAAAAAUGAAUAGCAUAGCAAAGGCCUGUACACAGUUUGGACUCGCGAAACCAUAGAAACUCACAUACUCUAGCUUGUUCAAUGGUAGUUGCAAGCAGUCAGGCGUCAUCAGACAUUUCACAAAUGCUUCAACAUUAUCAUCGGUACCUUUGACCCUAAUCUUAAGUUCACUCAAAUUGGGGGAACACUUGAUUAAUUGUAGAACGCAAGAACUAUGACCCAAUUUUCCAAAGUCAACAGAGAGGGACAGCUUCUGCAAGCAGUUGAGAAUAAAAGGAGGAGCACUUGAUAGAACUACGUCUGCACUCAAAAGCUCAAUGAAAAGUGAAUCCAACAGGAGUACCUCAAGUGCAGGCAAGCUAUCAAGAAGUUUCAUCAAUGUUGAUCUAUGAUCAUG